Molecule: transfer RNA, 69 nt
Filed under: Ictidomys tridecemlineatus (thirteen-lined ground squirrel)
Lineage: Eukaryota; Metazoa; Chordata; Mammalia; Rodentia; Sciuridae
Description: Spermophilus tridecemlineatus (thirteen-lined ground squirrel) tRNA
Rfam family: tRNA
About the family: Transfer RNA (tRNA) molecules are approximately 80 nucleotides in length. Their secondary structure includes four short double-helical elements and three loops (D, anti-codon, and T loops).
Source: Rfam by way of RNAcentral
GGGAUUGUAGCUCAGUGGUAGAGCACUCACCUAGCAUGUGUGAAGCACUGGGUUCAAUCCUCAGUGCCA